RNAcentral lists this ribosomal RNA (376 nucleotides) under uncultured eukaryote. RNAcentral describes it as "partial 18S ribosomal RNA". It matches the Rfam family "Eukaryotic small subunit ribosomal RNA", at positions 592 to 976 of the family's 1831-position model. The record is from RNAcentral.
UAAUAGCGUAUACUUAAGUUGUUGCAGUUAAAAAGCUCGUAGUCGGAUGUCGGGCUUGGGCAGGCUGUCGGCUUUUGUCGGACGGCAGGCUCGGGCCUUUCUGCCUGGGGACCGCGUCACACUUCACUGUGGGGCGUCGGGACGCAGGCCGUUUACUUUGAAAAAAUUAGAGUGUUCAAAGCAGGCAUCGCCGUUGAAUACAUUAGCAUGGAAUAAUAAGAUAAGACUUUGGUGGUCUAUUUUGUUGGUUUGCACGCCAAAGUAAUGAUUAAUAGGGAUAGUUGGGGGUAUUCGUAUUCUAUUGCUAGAGGUGAAAUUCUUAAAUUUAUGGAAGACGAACUACUGCGAAAGCAUUUACCAAGGAUGUUUUCAUUAA